This 467-nucleotide ribosomal RNA is filed under the name uncultured bacterium. RNAcentral's name for it is "partial 16S ribosomal RNA". It matches the Rfam family "Bacterial small subunit ribosomal RNA", at positions 29 to 507 of the family's 1533-position model. The record is from RNAcentral.
ACGAACGCUGGCGGCGUGCUUAACACAUGCAAGUCGAACGGAAAGGCCCUGCUUUUGUGGGGUGCUCGAGUGGCGAACGGGUGAGUAACACGUGAGUAACCUGCCCUUGACUUUGGGAUAACUUCAGGAAACUGGGGCUAAUACCGGAUAGGAGCUCCUGCUGCAUGGUGGGGGUUGGAAAGUUUCGGCGGUUGGGGAUGGACUCGCGGCUUAUCAGCUUGUUGGUGGGGUAGUGGCUUACCAAGGCUUUGACGGGUAGCCGGCCUGAGAGGGUGACCGGCCACAUUGGGACUGAGAUACGGCCCAGACUCCUACGGGAGGCAGCAGUGGGGAAUAUUGCACAAUGGGCGGAAGCCUGAUGCGGCAACGCCGCGUGCGGGAUGACGGCCUUCGGGUUGUAAACCGCUUUCGCCUGUGACGAAGUGUGAGUGGCGGUAAUGGGUAAAGAAGCACCGGCUAACUACGUG